RNAcentral lists this transfer RNA (73 nucleotides) under bacterium. Its description in RNAcentral is "tRNA-Ala". It matches the Rfam family "tRNA". From Rfam's summary of the family: Transfer RNA (tRNA) molecules are approximately 80 nucleotides in length. Their secondary structure includes four short double-helical elements and three loops (D, anti-codon, and T loops). Further hydrogen bonds mediate the characteristic L-shaped molecular structure. tRNAs have two regions of fundamental functional importance: the anti-codon, which is responsible for specific mRNA codon recognition, and the 3' end, to which the tRNAs corresponding amino acid is attached (by aminoacyl-tRNA synthetases). tRNAs cope with the degeneracy of the genetic code in two manners: having more than one tRNA (with a specific anti-codon) for a particular amino acid; and 'wobble' base-pairing, i.e. permitting non-standard base-pairing at the 3rd anti-codon position. The record is from RNAcentral.
GGGCCAAUAGCUCAGCUGGUAGAGCACCUGCUUUGCAAGCAGGGGGUCAGGGGUUCAAAUCCCCUUUGGUCCA